AUGCUUCUCAGCUCUCCGACAGGCUGGGAGAGGGGGAAACAGACACCGCACACGGCCACUGGGCCCUGGCGGCUCCUUCCCAGCCUGUGCUUUCUGACUGCCAGAGAUUUUAGGGACUGCCUGUCUCAGAGAAUGGUCAGAGAAACAGAGGUUUCCUGUGACUGGGUGCAACACACCACCUCGGCAAGAUGGCUGUGGAGAUGCACAUACAGCCCUGGCACAGCCACGCCGAGUUCCUUUCUGCUGUGCCGGCUGGGAAGCUGUCCGACAGAGCCACGGGUGCUCCGGCAGCUGGUGAGUGGCUUCCUGGAGAUGUGCAGGGCACACAGUCCUUCACACAGGACUUUUUCCCUUGGGCUCCGAGCUUCCACUCUCAGUUGUUGCAGUGAGCCAUAGGCAGCUGCUGUGGACAGCAGGGCUUUGUCAGCCACAUUUCUUCCUCUGUCAGUGACACUGCCACUGCCAGGACAAACCUGUGACCGAGGCAGGAGCUGACCCACACAGACUUCCCACUUGCUCCCCAUUUCCCACUCGUCCUUAUCUCCUGGAGAUAAGGAGAUAAGGAGGAACAGAUUGCUCUGGAUUAGCUCCAUUUUUUCCAGAGAACCUUUGAUCCUCCAGGAGGAAGGUUUUGCCCAGCUCAUAAUUGUGGCCUGGUGGGGCCGGCCUUCCCACGUCUCCGCAAUGCCAGGUGUCCUGCCUGCCCCUCUGUCCUGGUGCCCGCUGCAGAAGUCUCCUUGCAGGCAGCCCUGGCACGCUGCCCUCCCUGUGAAGCUGGCACAGCCCAGGGCACUGUGAUGCGGGAAACUCAGACCUGCCAGUUUGGUCUGUGCCUGCAGGGACAUUUGGGUUUUCCUCCAGCCUUUUUUUAUUUUGGUUUGGGUUUGUCUGUUUGCUUGUAUUUCUAGGUUUGUUAGUGUUAGCUGGGUGAUUGCUUUAGCUCCUGUUGCAGUUUCUGCAGUGCAGGUCCCUAGGGGAUCCCCACUCUGGGAGUUUAAGGGAUGAGGUCCAUCCCUGUGUCCCCAGAUGUGCUGUGAUCAAGCUCCCUCACCCCCGGGGCGUGACGGUGAGGCUUUGCCUGGGGUAACUCUUGUCCCCACAAGAUGUAACCACCCCGCUGUGACGGUUCUUGCUCCCAGCACCCGAUGACCGUCUCAUAGGGAGACUUGUUCCCGAGGCUUUUUCCAAGGCUUGUGCCCGGCUGAUGCUCCAUUCCCGGAGCAGCAGGGAAGAGCAGUGAUGCCUCUCAUAAGGAAUCGUGAGUGAACCGAGCACGGCAGAGCCGAACCGAGCUUGGCCGAACCCGGCAAGUGGCACUGAGUUCGGCCGAACCCGGCCUGCUGCUCUCGUGCCCAUUAAUUAGCGCGAGUGCGGUCACAGCCUAAUGAGCUCCUGC
This 1396-nucleotide long non-coding RNA is filed under the name Junco hyemalis (dark-eyed junco). Its description in RNAcentral is "lncRNA (ENSJHYG00000004643.1)". The record is from RNAcentral. Lineage: Eukaryota; Metazoa; Chordata; Aves; Passeriformes; Passerellidae.